UACGGAGGGUGCAAGCGUUAUCCGGAUUCACUGGGUUUAAAGGGUGCGUAGGUGGGUUGGUAAGUCAGUGGUGAAAUCCCCGAGCUUAACUUGGGAACUGCCAUUGAUACUAUUAAUCUUGAAUACCGUGGAGGUUAGCGGAAUAUGUCAUGUAGCGGUGAAAUGCUUAGAUAUGACAUAGAACACCAAUUGCGAAGGCAGCUGGCUACACGAAUAUUGACACUGAUACACGAAAGCGUGGGGAUCAAACAGG
Molecule: ribosomal RNA, 253 nt
Filed under: uncultured bacterium
Lineage: Bacteria
Description: partial 16S ribosomal RNA
Rfam family: Bacterial small subunit ribosomal RNA
Source: RNAcentral